AAACGUAGGUCACAAGCGUUGUCCGGAAUUACUGGGUGUAAAGGGAGCGCAGGCGGGAAGACAAGUUGGAAGUGAAAUCCGUGGGCUCAACCCAUGAACUGCUUUCAAAACUGUUUUUCUUGAGUAGUGCAGAGGUAGGCGGAAUUCCCGGUGUAGCGGUGGAAUGCGUAGAUAUCGGGAGGAACACCAGUGGCGAAGGCGGCCUACUGGGCACCAACUGACGCUGAGGCUCGAAAGUGUGGGUAGCAAACAGGAUUAGAUACCCUGGUAGUCCACACUGUAAACGAUGAUUACUAGGUGUUGGAGGAUUGACCCCUUCAGUGCCGCAGUUAACACAAUAAGUAAUCCACCUGGGGAGUACGACCGCAAGGUUGAAACUCAAAGGAAUUGACGGGGGCCCGCACAAGCAGUGGAGUAUGUGGUUUAAUUCGACGCAACGCGAAGAACCUUACCAAGUCUUGACAUCCUGCGACGGUGCUGGAAACAGUACUUUCCUUCGGGACGCAGAGACAGGUGGUGCAUGGUUGUCGUCAGCUCGUGUCGUGAGAUGUUGGGUUAAGUCCCGCAACGAGCGCAACCCUUAUGGUCAGUUACUACGCAAGAGGACUCUGGCCAGACUGCCGUUGACAAAACGGAGGAAGGUGGGGAUGACGUCAAAUCAUCAUGCCCUUUAUGACUUGGGCUACACACGUACUACAAUGGCGUUAAACAAAGAGAAGCAAGACCGCGAGGUGGAGCAAAACUCAGAAACAACGUCCCAGUUCGGACUGCAGGCUGCAACUCGCCUGCACGAAGUCGGAAUUGCUAGUAAUCGCAGAUCAGCAUGCUGCGGUGAAUACGUUCCCGGGCCUUGUACACACCGCCCGUCACACCAUGAGAGCCGGGGGGACCCGAAGUCGGUAGUCUAACCGCAAGGAGGACGCCGCCGAAGGUAAAACUGGUGAUUGGGGUG
Molecule: ribosomal RNA, 952 nt
Filed under: uncultured bacterium
Lineage: Bacteria
Description: bacterial SSU rRNA
Rfam family: Bacterial small subunit ribosomal RNA
Source: RNAcentral